This 92-nucleotide ribozyme is filed under the name Aedes aegypti (yellow fever mosquito). Its description in RNAcentral is "drz-agam-1 ribozyme". It matches the Rfam family "drz-agam-1 ribozyme". The record is from Rfam by way of RNAcentral. Lineage: Eukaryota; Metazoa; Arthropoda; Insecta; Diptera; Culicidae.
UGCCCAGCAACUCCUAUCUCUACCUCCUCGCGGUACUGGCUGGGGUACGAGUAAACUGUGCACUGUGGCCCUUCGAACAUUUAGGGGAAAUG